AGCCGGCGGACGGGUGAGUAACGCGUGGGAAUGUGCCCUUUGGUACGGAACAACUGAGGGAAACUUCAGCUAAUACCGUAUGUGCCCCCCUUCUUAGCGGAAGGGGCGGGAAAGAUUUAUCGCCAUUGGAGCAGCCCGCGUUGGAUUAGCUAGUUGGUAGGGUAAAGGCCUACCAAGGCUACGAUCCAUAGCUGGUCUGAGAGGAUGAUCAGCCACACUGGGACUGAGACACGGCCCAGACUCCUACGGGAGGCAGCAGUAGGGAAUCUUGCGCAAUGGGCGAAAGCCUGACGCAGCCAUGCCGCGUGAAUGAUGAAGGUCUUAGGAUUGUAAAAUUCUUUCCCGGGGAAGAUAAUGACGGUACCCGGAGAAGAAGCCCCGGCUAACUU
This 389-nucleotide ribosomal RNA is filed under the name uncultured bacterium. RNAcentral's name for it is "bacterial SSU rRNA". It matches the Rfam family "Bacterial small subunit ribosomal RNA", at positions 93 to 503 of the family's 1533-position model. The record is from RNAcentral.